GACGAACGCUGGCGGCGUGCUUAACACAUGCAAGUCGAACGGAAAGGCCUGCUUUCCCUUGUGGAUUGCGGGUACUCGAGUGGCGAACGGGUGAGUAACACGUGAGUGAUCUGCCCCCAACUUGGGUAUAAGCCUGGGAAACUGGGUCUAAUUCCCGAUAGGACUGCAGGGUGGUGCCUGUGGUGGAAAACGAUUUUCUAGUGGUUGGGGAUGAGCUCGCGGCCUAUCAGCUUGUUGGUGGGGUAAUGGCCUACCAAGGCGGCGACGGGUAGCCGGCCUGAGAGGGUGGACGGCCACAUUGGGACUGAGAUACGGCCCAGACUCCUACGGGAGGCAGCAGUGGGGAAUAAUGCACAAUGGGCGGAAGCCUGAUGCAGCGACGCCGCGUGGGGGAUGACGGCCUUCGGGUUGUAAUCUCCUUUCGACCGCGAGGAAGCCACCUGGUUGGAAGGGUGGUGACGGUAGUGGUAGAAGAAGCACCGGCUAACUACGUG
RNAcentral lists this ribosomal RNA (494 nucleotides) under uncultured bacterium. RNAcentral describes it as "partial 16S ribosomal RNA". It matches the Rfam family "Bacterial small subunit ribosomal RNA", at positions 28 to 507 of the family's 1533-position model. The record is from RNAcentral.